AUGGAUUGGUUUCGUACUUCUAGUAUGUCGAUUUUAAUUUUCAUAUUCUGUUGCAAGAGAUGGUGGUGUAAAGCUGAUGGGGAAUUCUUAGCUUUUUCAUUGAUGAAGAAUUUCAAUGAAACUAUUGCACAUAAGAAGUAUCAAGGAAAGCAGGUUGAGGAGCUUAUCUACAACCUGGCAUACAUAGAAUUUCAAAUUUAUUUUCCGUACUUCAGAUACUCGUAUUCUCUGCCCAAGCCAGUAAAGGAACAUUAGAUUCAUAAGCCCGGAAGCUCAUCUACUAGCAGGGAAAAGUGGGUGGACGGACAUGUUUCAAGUGUAAUCAGUCCAGACUAGGGAGAAAUUGAUACAAGUUUUAUAGCUACUUGAAGUUAGUCUGUUAUUCUGGAAUGUUUUAAGGGCUAUGAAAUGGGAGAUGGAUGUUCCACAGUGGUGCUUGAAAGACGUCCAAAUGUUGCAGAAGGAUGGUUAAAUAAAUAUAGCAGUUAAAAUAUUUUACUGGGUACUGUUACACUUGGUCUUUGAUAGUCAUCUCUACUUGAUUUUGUGGAGGUCCUUCCUUGCAUGUUUUGGUCACCGUGUCUGCAGAACUUCUCAAUCAGAGAAGGAGAAAGGAAAGCUGUAGAGAGGCAAGAUGAAUGUGGCUGAUAGCACACACUCCUUGAAGAGGAAAAAUCGUAUGCUACUUAUUAUAAGCCGACUUGAUUCUCUUUUUGAAUAUGCUUGUAACUAAAUCACCUUCAUAUUUCAUCAAUAUCUAAUGUCAUGCAGUGUUGUGUUGCA
Long non-coding RNA from Solanum verrucosum, 783 nucleotides. RefSeq lists it as uncharacterized. The record is from RefSeq and is a predicted model, not a curated record. Lineage: Eukaryota; Viridiplantae; Streptophyta; Magnoliopsida; Solanales; Solanaceae. The transcript is spliced from 3 exons.